Gasterosteus aculeatus (three-spined stickleback) is the source of this 2747-nucleotide long non-coding RNA. NCBI's taxonomy places the organism in Eukaryota, Metazoa, Chordata, Actinopteri, Perciformes, Gasterosteidae. The record is from Ensembl.
AUGUGUGUUUGGGUCAUGAAGCACAUGGAGUCGAUCUGCUCAUGCACUGCUUGCAGGAUUGUUGGCUUAAGACGCCUCAUGGGUCCUCCACAUGUCCACGUUCCCUCUGGUCUCCCUCCGCAGAAUGGGAGCCAGGGGCGUCUCCAGGGUGCCGACUUGGCCGAGCUGCUUCAUCAAGCCCCGUCUCCAUGGAGGUGUCCCGGCGCACAGGAUCGUUCCGAGAAAGCACAAUCGGCGACCGAUGAGAGUCUUCCUAGGACACGGCAACACGCGAAGGCCCUCCCACAGCGCAGAGCCGUGUCCGUCCAUGAGGACGCUCUGGCCAUGACUCAAGAGCUGAAGGCAGUGUUACAAAGAUCCCCCAUCCGUUUCCGUGGAAACAGAGGAGACCUGCCCACCUGCACCGAAGAUUCAUCUGGAAGGGAGGAAGCAAAAAUAGCUCCGGAGGCCGGUGACGGGGGGAAACGGGAGCCCGAGGCGGAGCCGGGGAGGACGGGUUGCGAAGAGGAGACCCGGGGCCCGGGGCGUCCGUCCUCUGCAGCUCGGGGUCCGCAAGAAACGUUCGCAGCUCGGCCCGUCCUCGAGAGGCCUCCUGCCGCAACCGAGAGCCCGGAGAGGAAGGCCGCUUUUCCCGCCACGUGGGAGAAGAAGAGCCCGGUCGCUCCGCCGUCGCCGCAAACUUUCGAAAAGCCGACGCCGGGCGAAAAGAGCCCGAGCGCAACGCAAACCCGAUCGCCGGAACACCCCAGGGUGAGCCCCCUGUCCCACAAGAGGCAGAGCCCCGGCACGUCACCGGCCACGGCUGACGCGGGGGGGAGGACGCGCAGUCUCUAAACCGCACACGAUGAAGGCCGAGCCGGCAGACCAAAGAACUGAGCCGCCUCCGUCUGAAUAGCGAGCGCACAGGAGGAGCCACAGGUCUGUGAACGCGGGCGGGAUUGCGACGUUGGGCGGGUGCACUUGAUCCCAGCCAUGUUGGUCAUCUGUUUUUUUUUGGGGAACUUAAAGCCGGGUCAUUGAACCGCUCACUAACACCACCGACUGCCGAGGACGCUGGCAUGCAGGACCACAAGGCGGCUUGGAAGUUGUGCGCACAAACGGGCUUUGUCGUGAUACUUUCGUCCGUUGGCUGUGGAUUACUGCGCUCACGCUGGUCCCGAUCCAUGUACUGUAACAGCGUUUGUGCUACGAGCCAUGCCAUCUCUGGUAGGACAGACCAUGUGACAGGAAGUAGUCUUUGCCACGUUCACGUCAGCCCACUGAGUAACACGUGUGAUGAAGGGAAGCCAUGUUUUUCUUCUUCAUCCUGACGUGGUUUUGAGCUGGAACACAAAUCAGAACCACUUCAAUGAUAAAAAGGCAUGAUAUAAAAUAUCAGAAUGUGAUUGACAAACAUAUUACAGUGUUAGAAGGUGUUUAAUAUCCCUUCUCUUGCCACCCUAUCCCCGUCCAUCUUUAAACCACAGGUGAGAUGGGUUGGCAGGGGGCAGAAAACCGAUGAAUUGGCCAUUUCUGUUUAUGGACCAGGUCCAUUGGCUCCAUCAAGCUCACGGGGAGAGAUGUAACUGUACGUCAGGACCUCAGUAGUUCACCAUGACAAUUCCCUGUUAUUGUUUAAGAUCAUUCUUUAUAUUCCGUUGAGAGAAAAAAAAUAGACAAACGAAACAACGAUACGUGUCUUAUGCCACUUUCUUUAUAGAAGGGCCAACAACUAAACGCAAGGUCCAGUUCAGUCAGUCGGUAUAUGAUCGGUUCAAGAGCCUCGUCACCAUAUUUGGCUCAGUUGUUUUCUCCGGCAGGGGAAUUAUUCAUUCAGCGGAACAGCACAAGACCUUCGACUUUAUAAAGAAAUCGUAAGGUGGUAACUGGGAGGUUUGAAACCAGGCAAAUGUCCGGCUGUGUAAAGCUUAGUUUUUCAUACAAAUUAUGCUCUUGCUAUAAAAAAUGGAAAUGAACACAACAUCUUUAUAAAAAAAUAUAGUUUAUCCAAUGAAAGAAAAUAUGUCAAAACGUGUUUAUUUUCUCACAAUUUGUAUACAUUGAAGAUGAUGUCAAAACACAACCUUUGGUCCCGUUAUGCCAUCCAUGCGAUGAAAAUAUGUCCUGACUUGUUAAGAUGUCUUUAUAUCCACCUUUUUACAAUCUCACAGGGGUCACUAGAGUUCUGCAUGCAUCUGUUGACUCACAUCAGCGUGUGGCAUUCAACUCGAUUUAGGUUCCACCCUCCAUCAAACAACCACACACGUAAUCGUCCCAUCGCGCGACGCCGUAUGACCACACGACGAUGUGCGACAGCGGCAGUGUGUUCGCUCCAUCGAACUCUCAGGGCGGCUGUGAUGAACCUGAGCCUCCGUCUCAUCUCGGGGGAAGAGUUUACUUCCACCCCCCACGUUGCUCUCGGCCUUGCACGCACAGUAUAUGUACAAAGCUACAUGAAGCAAAUAGAAACAGAGCUAUGAACAGAGUGUAAAUCCAUAUCUAUACAUGUUAAUGAUUAAAACGAUUACGUUGUGUCAUGAUCUCGUUGCCUCUUGUUUUGUUUAACGUGUUCCGUCGCUCCUGAAAGUUGAGACGAUGAUCCUCAACUGAUCGGGGUUGCAUUCGAUGCAGACCUUUAUGGAUGUUCAGGAUGUAGUUCCUGGUCCUACAUUUUAUUAGACCGCGGUGACAUAUUAUGCAAAACCUACUCUUAGGUUAGGUCAGCGGUUCCCAAACUUUUUUUCCUGCGCACCCCCUUCCAUGUCUCA